RNAcentral lists this ribosomal RNA (460 nucleotides) under uncultured bacterium. RNAcentral's name for it is "partial 16S ribosomal RNA". It matches the Rfam family "Bacterial small subunit ribosomal RNA", at positions 338 to 795 of the family's 1533-position model. The record is from RNAcentral.
CCUACGGGAGGCAGCAGUGAGGAAUAUUGGUCAAUGGGCGAGAGCCUGAACCAGCCAAGUAGCGUGAAGGAUGACUGCCCUACGGGUUGUAAACUUCUUUUAUAUGGGAAUAAAAUGUUCCACGUGUGGGAUUUUGUAUGUACCUUAUGAAUAAGGAUCGGCUAACUCCGUGCCAGCAGCCGCGGUAAUACGGAGGAUCCGAGCGUUAUCCGGAUUUAUUGGGUUUAAAGGGAGCGUAGGUGGGUUGUUAAGUCAGUUGUGAAAGUUUGCGGCUCAACCGUAAAAUUGCAGUUGAAACUGGCAGUCUUGAGUACAGUAGAGGUGGGCGGAAUUCGUGGUGUAGCGGUGAAAUGCUUAGAUAUCACGAAGAACUCCGAUUGCGAAGGCAGCUCACUGGACUGCGACUGACACUGAGGCUCGAAAGUGUGGGUAUCAAACAGGAUUAGAUACCCGAGUAGUC